Molecule: long non-coding RNA, 1109 nt
Filed under: Mytilus galloprovincialis (Mediterranean mussel)
Lineage: Eukaryota; Metazoa; Mollusca; Bivalvia; Mytilida; Mytilidae
Source: RNAcentral
AAAAAAAGAGUUAUAAAUAUUUCCAAGAAAAACAAAAACAUAAAAGUUACAGUGACAGCAUUCAAAAGUGUAAUAUUUCAAAACUUAAAAUAUCUCAUUGUCAUAAGCAAUUUAUUUGUAAUGUAUUUAUAUAUCCUCUCUUUUUUUCCUGAUCAAAUCUAUUCUUGAUGAAUGAUGUAUUGUAUACUCUUAAAAUUUCUACAUUUUUAUAGUGGAUUUAUACACUAUUUAGGUUUUACUUGUUACAUAUGUCAACAGUAAGAAAGUUUAAUGUACACCACAUAUAUUGACAUGAAUAUCUUUUUCUGUUAGUUAUAAUUAAACUCAUCAUAGAUACCAGGACUAAAUUUAGUAUAUACAACAGACGCACGUUUCUUCUACAAAUGACUCAUCAGUGACGCUCAUAUCAAAAAAAGUUAAAAAGGUCAAAUAAAGUACGAAGUUGAAGAGCAUUGAGGAUGAAAAUUCCUAAUUAUUUUGCCAAAUACAGCUAAGGUAAUCUAUGCCUAAGGUAAAAAAGCCUUAGUAUUUCAAAAAAUUCAAACUAUUCAUAUAGUGUGUGUGGUUACAAUUGAGACAUUACAUAACAAAUGUAAAUAUUCGGUUACAGUUAAAUACAUGUUGUUCCUGAUGAGGUAUCACAAUAACAACUAACUUGAUAAAAACCUUUUUAAACUACAUGUAGUUCUAUGACUCCAAAAGGAUAAUCCCCACCCUGCAAGACAAUUACAUAUAGAAGUAAAUUUGAUUAUCUCCCCUUAAACAUGUUGCAUCUGAUUUAUGGUACUGUUCCACAACUGUGUUAAGUUUCAUUGAUAUCAAUUCAUCCAUUUCUGAAGAGUUUCACUUGCAGGAUACAGGGACAGACAUUUAGUGGCAUACAGGUUAUCUCUAAAUACUAAGUUUGUUGGUGGUAUAAAAAAUAAAAUUUCAAAAGGUAGAUUUUGUGGAAUGAAGCUCUAAUUUGCUUCUCCACUAAGACAAAAAUGUUGUGUCACUUUUUAACAAAGUUUAAGAGAACUAACAUUUUUAUAAAAAGAGCUUCAGUUACAAUAUAUUUAGUAAACAUCUGAAUGUAAAAAAAAAUACAAUAUUGCAUAUAGUGACAG